RNAcentral lists this ribosomal RNA (502 nucleotides) under uncultured Glomeromycotina. RNAcentral describes it as "partial small subunit ribosomal RNA". It matches the Rfam family "Eukaryotic small subunit ribosomal RNA", at positions 591 to 1092 of the family's 1831-position model. Lineage: Eukaryota; Fungi; Glomeromycota. The record is from RNAcentral.
CCAAUAGCGUAUAUUAGUGUUGUUGCGGUUAAAAAGCUCGUAGUUGAAUUUCGGGAUUGGGAUAUAUCGGUCGUGCCUUUAGGGGCAUGAAUCGGCGUGUGGCCAAUUCUCACUUUUUGGUGAAUUGGGAUGCUCUCGGGUGUUUCAAUGAACUAGGACUUUUACUUUGAAAAAAUUAGAGUGUUUAAAGCGGGCAUUUUUGCUUGAAUACGUUAGCAUGGAAUAAUAAAAUAGGACGAUGGUUCUAUUUUGUUGGUUUUAGGACCACGUAAUGAUUAAUAGGGAUAGUUGGGGGCAUUAGUAUUCAAUUGUCAGAGGUGAAAUUCUUGGAUUUAUUGAGGACUAACUAUUGCGAAAGCAUUUGCCAAGGAUGUUUUCAUUAAUCAAGAACGAAAGUUAGGGGAUCAAAGACGAUUUAUGUACGUCGUAGUCUUAACCAUAAACUAUGCCGACUAGGAAUCAGACAAAGUUAAUUUUUUAACGACUUGUUUGGUACCUUACG